UACGGAGGGUGCAAGCGUUGUUCGGAAUCACUGGGCGUAAAGCGCAUGUAGGUGGUAUAUUAAGUCAGUUGUGAAAGCCUGGGGCUUAACUCCAGAAGUGCAUCUGAAACUGGUAUACUAGAGUGCAGUAGGGGGUAGUGGAAUUCCUAGUGUAGAGGUGAAAUUCGUAGAUAUUAGGAGGAACACCGGUGGCGAAGGCGGCUACCUGGACAUGCACUGACACUAAGAUGCGAAAGCAUGGGGAGCAAACAGG
Molecule: ribosomal RNA, 253 nt
Filed under: uncultured bacterium
Lineage: Bacteria
Description: partial 16S ribosomal RNA
Rfam family: Bacterial small subunit ribosomal RNA
Source: RNAcentral